AUGGACAAGAUUCUGAAAGCAUCAUUUUUAGUCCUGGCCCUUCACCUAGCCUGGGUGAGUGGCCAGCAGCAAGAGAGGCGUGACCAGCAGCAGGUGAGACAAAGUCCCCAAUCUCUGACAGUCUGGGAAGGAGGGAAUUCAGUUCUGAACUGCACUUAUGAGAACAGUGCAUUUGACUACUUCCCAUGGUACCGGCAAUUCCCCGGUAAAGGCCUUGAAUUCCUGAUAACGAUAAAUUUAGUGACAAAUAAAAAGGAAGAUGGAAGAUUCACAGUCUUCUUCAGUAAAAGCACGAAAGAGCUCUCCCUGCACAUCACAGAUUCUCAGCCUGGAGACUCAGCCACCUACUUCUGUGCAGCAAGAGCACAGUGCUCUCCAGGCACCUGCAGCCCACACCCAAACCUGCAGCUGAGGCGCUAG
Molecule: non-coding RNA, 420 nt
Organism: Onychomys torridus (southern grasshopper mouse)
Lineage: Eukaryota; Metazoa; Chordata; Mammalia; Rodentia; Cricetidae
Source: the annotation of a RefSeq genome assembly